Molecule: ribosomal RNA, 932 nt
Filed under: Chromohalobacter israelensis
Lineage: Bacteria; Pseudomonadati; Pseudomonadota; Gammaproteobacteria; Oceanospirillales; Halomonadaceae
Description: bacterial SSU rRNA
Rfam family: Bacterial small subunit ribosomal RNA
Source: RNAcentral
UGCAAGUCGAGCGGUAACGGGUCCAGCUUGCUGGAUGCCGACGAGCGGCGGACGGGUGAGUAAUGCAUAGGAAUCUGCCCGAUAGUGGGGGAUAACCUGGGGAAACCCAGGCUAAUACCGCAUACGUCCUACGGGAGAAAGCGGGGGCUCUUCGGACCUCGCGCUAUCGGAUGAGCCUAUGUCGGAUUAGCUGGUUGGUGAGGUAACGGCUCACCAAGGCGACGAUCCGUAGCUGGUCUGAGAGGAUGAUCAGCCACACCGGGACUGAGACACGGCCCGGACUCCUACGGGAGGCAGCAGUGGGGAAUAUUGGACAAUGGGCGCAAGCCUGAUCCAGCCAUGCCGCGUGUGUGAAGAAGGCUUUCGGGUUGUAAAGCACUUUCAGUGGGGAAGAAAGCGUGCCGGCCAAUACCCGGUACGGACGACAUCACCCACAGAAGAAGCACCGGCUAACUCCGUGCCAGCAGCCGCGGUAAUACGGAGGGUGCGAGCGUUAAUCGGAAUUACUGGGCGUAAAGCGCGCGUAGGCGGCUGAGUAAGCCGGUUGUGAAAGCCCCGGGCUCAACCUGGGAAUGGCAUCCGGAACUGUUUAGCUAGAGUGCAGGAGAGGAAGGUAGAAUUCCCGGUGUAGCGGUGAAAUGCGUAGAGAUCGGGAGGAAUACCAGUGGCGAAGGCGGCCUUCUGGACUGACACUGACGCUGAGGUGCGAAAGCAUGGGUAGCAAACAGGAUUAGAUACCCUGGUAGUCCAUGCCGUAAACGAUGUCGACUAGCCGUUGGGUCCCUUGAGGACUUAGUGGCGCAGUUAACGCGAUAAGUCGACCGCCUGGGGAGUACGGCCGCAAGGUUAAAACUCAAAUGAAUUGACGGGGGCCCGCACAAGCGGUGGAGCAUGUGGUUUAAUUCGAUGCACGCGAGACCUUACCUACCCUU